AACGAACGCUGGCGGCAUGCCUAACACAUGCAAGUCGAACGAGACCUUCGGGUCUAGUGGCGCACGGGUGCGUAACGCGUGGGAACCUGCCCUUAGGUUCGGAAUAACUCCCCGAAAGGGGUGCUAAUACCGGAUAAUGUCUUCGGACCAAGGAUUUAUCGCCUUUGGAUGGGCCCGCGUUGGAUUAGCUAGUUGGUGGGGUAAAAGCCUACCAAGGCGACGAUCCAUAGCUGGUCUGAGAGGAUGAUCAGCCACACUGGGACUGAGACACGGCCCAGACUCCUACGGGAGGCAGCAGUGGGGAAUAUUGGACAAUGGGCGAAAGCCUGAUCCAGCAAUGCCGCGUGAGUGAUGAAGGCCUUAGGGUUGUAAAGCUCUUUUACCCGGGAUGAUAAUGACAGUACCGGGAGAAUAAGCACCGGCUAACUCCGUG
RNAcentral lists this ribosomal RNA (433 nucleotides) under uncultured bacterium. RNAcentral describes it as "partial 16S ribosomal RNA". It matches the Rfam family "Bacterial small subunit ribosomal RNA", at positions 29 to 507 of the family's 1533-position model. The record is from RNAcentral.